GCUUGCCCUCGGGGCCCUGGUUCUGCGGGCCCCUUCGGUCUGAAUGUGCAUCCACCAAAGACUUUUGCAAGAGUUUCCUCAAGUGAACACUUUAGGUGGGACGCCUGCCACAGGAUGGCUUGCCAAGCAGUUCUCAGUCAUCUGCAGCAAGGACUCCGGGGUCACUGCCCAGGUCUGGACACUGGUGUUGAAAACCCCUCAGGACACAGGAGACAGGGAUCACGUGCUUGAUCCUCCCGCCCCUUUUCUGUGUUGCUGUGACCAAAGAGUCAGGAUCCCAUCCUCUCCUCUCCAAAUGCCAAGAAGCCCCCGGGGAAGGACCACAAGGGGCCAUGUCAGGCUCUGAAACUGGGCUAGUGAUGGCCACCCAUGGUCUUAUUUUCAAGUAAAACUCCAGAUUUUGACAAAGGUAAUGACAUCGGACCAUUGUGCUUUCAUGUGAUGUGACUCUUGGCAGAUAGAGGAUGGGUUCUUCAGAAGGGAAUGACUAUCCCACUGUCGGCGUGCCAGGAGGGCCAGUGCUGCCAUGGGAAUGGAGACUGGUGCUGUGGGAGGUGGGAGGGGUGUUCCUCUCUCUGGGCAUUGCCACCUGGCCUUCAAGGACUGUGACAAACUGCGGCUCUCCUGUCACCAGGGUGAGCAGGCUCUGGCUGCACAGCCACAACCAAGGAUGGAGGAGUCGCCACCAGCCAAAGCUCCAGGUUAACUCUCGGGUUAAGCUCCUUUGCCCUCCAGCACCUCCAGCACAGCAUUGUCGAAGCUUUCUCUCUGGCAGGGCUCCGGCAAAGGGGAGCUAAGGUCCUGCUCCUCUGGCAAAUGGGCACCCGGGGCCAACGUCAGCGGUGCCUGGAUGUAGCUGUGACCCCAUUAUACUCUCAGUCCGGUCCAGCUGAGGGAUCCUGGUCACACCUAGAAGAAUCAAAGGUAUACAGGUGGCCUGUAGACUGUUAGACGCUAGCCUGGGUUGAGCGCAGUCUAGCCAGGCGGCCGUGCAGUGAUCAUGCAGACAGAAGGUGACCUUUCAGGACUGCCCCUGACACCUGCAGGGCCCAGGCUCAUUUCCAGGGCCUCCAUCAGGUGUCACCCGCUUGCCCAGAUUCUUCUCUCAAAUGAAGCAAAGACCUUAGGCCGAGGAGGGAAUUGAUUUAAGACCCACUAACAGAGGUUUGAAAACUUCUCAAAUAAGAUGAUGAGGGGGAGAGUGCACAAUUUAGCCCAGCGAGUGGAGCACACAGCAGCCUGGCAACAGCCUCCCGGUUCUGUAGGUAAAGAGCCGCCCCGAGGAGCGUGGUCAUGGGCUUUCUCCCUUCACGUGGACAGAAAAGGAACAGAUGAGUGCAGAGUGCCAUGCGGCUGAGGGACAGUGGCUGGAAGGGAACAGGAGGACUUCCCAAGGCUGGAGGUCUUGAAAAACAGGCUCAGUCUCUUUGAUCCAUGAUGAGUCAAGUGUGGAGAGGGAGGAAAGGGGAGAAUCCCUAUUCCUUCUGGAACUCUGAGGGGCCUCCAUGAUGUUCACCUGGGCAGUAGGGAGCACAGCUCCUUGGGAUCCAAUUCAACCCCAACGUUAACUGGACAUCUAUGAUGUGCGAGGCACCAGGCUGGUCUGGGAGAUAGUCGACUGCUGAGCUGCUGACCUACUGUGGGCAGAUGAAGGACUGAAGAGCCAGAGCACUGAGGAGACUGGGCCCAAUUGUCUUGAGCAGCCCACCCCUCCCCAGCCCUGUGUCUGUGUUUGGGUUCAUUUGGACAGUCGUGAUGGUCGGGUGAUGGGCAUGCCCAUCCACACUCCCCCUCAGGGCACUUUUGUGUAGCCUUAGGAACAAAAAUAAAGAUCUUGUUUUAUAUACCUUGCCUAGACAAGGUCUGGGAUGUGUGGUUAGAAAAUAUUUUUGUUUUUAUGGAAUUGCUAAACCCCUGGAGUGCCAGAGGAGGCCACAUGGAGUGUGGCUCCUGCGGCCUGUUUUCUUCUGCGUGGGAAGUGAGUCUGGACAUAAACGGUGACGCUUAACCCUGCAUCCUGGAAGUUCUAGGUUUAGAUAAAAUGUUUCCGAAUUACCCAGUGAGUGAGGAAGACCACACGAUCUUUAAAUUCCCUCCCAGCUCUCACAUCCUGUGACUAAUCAGCAGCUGUCCUAACUUAAAUCAGACAAAAACUAGUGGGUC
This is a long non-coding RNA of Equus asinus (donkey), 2163 nucleotides long. NCBI's taxonomy places the organism in Eukaryota, Metazoa, Chordata, Mammalia, Perissodactyla, Equidae. The record is from Ensembl.